This 72-nucleotide transfer RNA is filed under the name Bacteroidota bacterium. Its description in RNAcentral is "tRNA-Phe". It matches the Rfam family "tRNA". From Rfam's summary of the family: Transfer RNA (tRNA) molecules are approximately 80 nucleotides in length. Lineage: Bacteria; Pseudomonadati; Bacteroidota. The record is from RNAcentral.
CGGGAUGUAGCUCAAUUGGUAGAGCACUUGGUUGAAGCCCUGGCAGCGGUGGUUCGAUUCCAUCCAUUCCGA